GACGAACGCUGGCGGCGUGCUUAACACAUGCAAGCCGAACGGAAAGGCCCUGCUUUUGUGGGGUGCUCGAGUGGCGAACGGGUGAGUAACACGUGAGUAACCUGCCCUUGACUUUGGGAUAACUUCAGGAAACUGGGGCUAAUACCGGAUAGGAGCUCCUGCUGCAUGGUGGGGGUUGGAAAGUUUCGGCGGUUGGGGAUGGACUCGCGGCUUAUCAGCUUGUUGGUGGGGUAGCGGCUUACCAAGGCUUUGACGGGUAGCCGGCCUGAGAGGGUGACCGGCCACAUUGGGACUGAGAUACGGCCCAGACUCCUACGGGAGGCAGCAGUGGGGAAUAUUGCACAAUGGGCGGAAGCCUGAUGCAGCAACGCCGCGUGCGGGAUGACGGCCUUCGGGUUGUAAACCGCUUUCGCCUGUGACGAAGCGUGAGUGACGGUAAUGGGUAAAGAAGCACCGGCUAACUACGUG
Molecule: ribosomal RNA, 468 nt
Filed under: uncultured bacterium
Lineage: Bacteria
Description: partial 16S ribosomal RNA
Rfam family: Bacterial small subunit ribosomal RNA
Source: RNAcentral